UACGGAGGGGGCAAGCGUUGUUCGGAUUUACUGGGCGUAAAGGGUGUGUAGGCGGUUGCGUCAGUCUGGUGUGAAAUCUUCACCGCUCAACGGGAAGGAGCCACUGGAAACUGCGCAACUCGAGUAUGGUAGAGGCUAGCGGAAUUCCUGGUGUAGCGGUGGAAUGUGUAGAUAUCAGGAAGAACAUCUGUGGCGAAGGCGGCUAGCUGGGCCAUCACUGACGCUGAGACACGAAAGCGUGGGGAGCGAA
Molecule: ribosomal RNA, 250 nt
Filed under: uncultured bacterium
Lineage: Bacteria
Description: partial 16S ribosomal RNA
Rfam family: Bacterial small subunit ribosomal RNA
Source: RNAcentral